This 406-nucleotide ribosomal RNA is filed under the name uncultured bacterium. RNAcentral describes it as "partial 16S ribosomal RNA". It matches the Rfam family "Bacterial small subunit ribosomal RNA", at positions 30 to 526 of the family's 1533-position model. The record is from RNAcentral.
AUUGAACGCUGGCGGCAGGCUUAACACAUGCAAGUCGAGCGAGCGGAGGACGGGUGAGUAAUGUCUGGGAAAAUGCCUGAUGGAGGGGGAUAACUACUGGAAACGGUAGCUAAUACCGCAUACCAUCAGAUGUGCACAGGGGGGAUUAGCUAGUAGGUGGGGUAAUGGCUCACCUAGGCGACGAUCCCUAGCUGGUAGGAGAGGCUGACCAGCGACACUGGAACUGAGCCACGGUCCAGACUCCUACGGGAGUCAGCAGAGGGGAAUAUUGCACAAUGGGCGCAAUCCUGAUGCAGCCAUGCCGCGUGUGUGAAUGAGGCCUUCGGGUUGUAAAGCACUUUCAGCGAGGAGGCGUUACUCGCAGAAGAAGCACCGGCUAACUCCGUGCCAGCAGCCGCGGUAAUAC